CCUACGGGGGGCUGCAGUAAGGAAUAUUGGUCAAUGGACGCAAGUCUGAACCAGCCAUGCCGCGUGGAGGAUGAAGGUCCUCUGGAUUGUAAACUUCUUUUAUUUGGGAAGAAACUCCCGAUUUCCAUCGGGAUUGACGGUACCAGAUGAAUAAGCACCGGCUACCUCCGUGCCAGCAGCCGCGGUAAUACGGAGGAUGCAAGCGUAAUCCGGAUUCACUGUGUUUAGGUGGGCAGGUGGUUCGGUGGUGAAAUCUCCGGGCUUAACCCGGAAACUGCCAUUGAUACUAUGUGUCUUGAAUACUCUGGAGGUGAGCGGAAUAUGUCAUGUAGCGGUGAAAUGCUUAGAUAUGACAUAGAACACCCAUUGCGAAGGCAGCUCACUACGGAAAUAUUGACGCUGAGGCACGAAAGCGUGGGGAUCAAACAGGAUUAGAUACCCUAGUAGUC
This 449-nucleotide ribosomal RNA is filed under the name uncultured bacterium. Its description in RNAcentral is "partial 16S ribosomal RNA". It matches the Rfam family "Bacterial small subunit ribosomal RNA", at positions 338 to 795 of the family's 1533-position model. The record is from RNAcentral.